GUCUGCUCAAGCUGUUCCUAUUCCACCUCCAAGAGUACUCCUCGUUCUGUUGAGUCUGUGUCUACCAUCGAGGUCCCGUAUUAAUCCUUUCCAGUGAGAAAUCUUGGUGGCGCCUCAUCUGUUGGACGUAAUU
Long non-coding RNA from Vigna unguiculata (cowpea), 133 nucleotides. NCBI's taxonomy places the organism in Eukaryota, Viridiplantae, Streptophyta, Magnoliopsida, Fabales, Fabaceae. The record is from RefSeq and is a predicted model, not a curated record.